AUUAUCUGAGAGUCCUGUGACUGGCAGGUGACCAUGGCAGUCCCAGGCUGUCAGAACUCAGGGCUUUCCUAAGAGAGAGGGUCUGCUCCUGAUACCACAGUCUAUGUUUAUCAACGUGGACUUUUAUUGAGAACGCACGGCAAAGGCGUCUGGCUUUAUGAUGGUUUUUGAUCAUCCUGAGAAGAAUGAGCCUUGGCCUCCAGACCCAGUAAAACAGACAUCCAUGGAGAACAGUGUUCGUUCCUGAGGACCUGGAGGGCUUGCAGCCCAGGAGGAUUAGCUAGAAGCAGGUAAGGAACACCUGGAGGAGUGGGAUGUGGAAGCAGCAUGGGGUCCAUACUCUGUUUAGGAGGCACAGUGGAGUGCGCUGGUAAGAAGCCAUAGGGGCUCAAUGUAUGGCUACAGCUUUGCUGUUUUCUUUGUGUUUUUUAUUUAUUUAUUUUUCAGUCCCUAGUGUUGAUAGGUGAUUUGCCUAUUUCUAUAAACUAUAAGAUUUAAAUUUAUUCUGUAAUUCAAUCUACCUUUUUAAAGCACCUAUUCUGGCCAAACCCUGCAUUUGAUACCCAGCAGGUAGUGAUAUAGUGAUAUAGAUGGGUA
Bos grunniens (domestic yak) is the source of this 597-nucleotide long non-coding RNA. The record is from Ensembl. Lineage: Eukaryota; Metazoa; Chordata; Mammalia; Artiodactyla; Bovidae.